AUACGGAGGGUGCGAGCGUUAAUCGGAAUUACUGGGCGUAAAGCGCGCGUAGGCGGCUAGGUCAGUCGGAUGUGAAAGCCCCGGGCUUAACCUGGGAAUUGCAUUCGAUACUGCCUGGCUAGAGUAUGGGAGAGGGAAGCGGAAUUUCCGGUGUAGCGGUGAAAUGCGUAGAUAUCGGAAGGAACACCAGUGGCGAAGGCGACUUCCUGGGCCAAUACUGACGCUGAGGUGCGAAAGCGUGGGGAGCAAACAGGAUUAGAAACCCGGGUAGUCC
This 274-nucleotide ribosomal RNA is filed under the name uncultured bacterium. RNAcentral's name for it is "partial 16S ribosomal RNA". It matches the Rfam family "Bacterial small subunit ribosomal RNA", at positions 523 to 796 of the family's 1533-position model. The record is from RNAcentral.